GACACUCUGUAUCUAGCUACUCUGGUGAGGCCUUGGAGAACCUUUGUGUCCACACUCUGUAUCUAGCUAAUCUGGUGUGGACUUAGAGAACCUUUCUGUCUAGCUCAGGGAUUGUAAAGGCACCAAUCAGCGCCCUGUCAAAACAGACCACUGGGCUCUACCAAUCAGCAGGAAGUGGGUGGGGCCAGAUAAGAGAAUAAAACCAGGCUGCCUGAGCUAGUAGUGGCAACCAGCUUGCGUCCGUUUCCAUGUUGUGGGAGAUUUGUUCUUUCGCUCUUUGUGGUAAAUCUUGCUACUGCUCACUCUUUGAGUCCACACUGCUUUUAUGAGCUGUAACACUCACCGGGAAGGUCUGCAGCUUCAAUCCUGAAGCCAGCGAGGCCACCAGCCCACCGGGAGGAACGAACAACUCCAGACGCACCGCCUUAAGAGCUGUAACACUCACCGCGAAGGUCUGCAGCUUCACUCCUGAGCCAGCGAGACCACGAACCCACCAGAAGAAAGAAACUCCGAACACAUCCGAACACCAGAAGGAACAAACUCCAGACGCGCCAACUGUAACACUCACCGCGAGGAUCCGUGGCUUCAUUCUUGAAGUCAGUGAGACCAAGAACCCACCAAUUCCGGACACACUGAUGCUCAAUAAAGGAAUGUAGAAGAAUGUUGGGAGAGAAGCAUUCUCACCUAUUUCUGAUCUUAACAGGAAGCAAGUGCAUUCGUCCCACCUCACCAACAGCUUGAAGAGUCACAAAAACGUGGACAUCGCACAAUAAAGUGUAAGAGACUCGGGGAGAAAUGGUCCCUUGGACUAUAUUGGCUGUAAUACUGAGGUAACCAAUUGACCUUGUUCAGUGAAAAUACCUCUAACAAAAUGAAAAAAUCAACUAAUUAUAACUUCCAAUUCACAUAUACAAUUCAAAUAAAAAUAUAUAUUAUUUGCUUUAAUGUAUAGCAAGUUUAAUACAUUAGUGUUUACAAAAUAAAAACUGUAUUCUACUGAAA
Homo sapiens (human) is the source of this 1002-nucleotide long non-coding RNA. NCBI's taxonomy places the organism in Eukaryota, Metazoa, Chordata, Mammalia, Primates, Hominidae. The record is from Ensembl.